Long non-coding RNA from Ctenocephalides felis (cat flea), 478 nucleotides. RefSeq lists it as uncharacterized. The transcript has 4 exons. NCBI's taxonomy places the organism in Eukaryota, Metazoa, Arthropoda, Insecta, Siphonaptera, Pulicidae. The record is from RefSeq and is a predicted model, not a curated record.
CCAGGAGGAGGCAGGAAAUUUUGGACAGGCAUAGGUUGAAGAAGGCUAUUGAGGAGGCCGAGAGAGAGGGUAAGGUGAUAGACAAGAACGAGCUCAUGCACUCUCUGAAGAUCACGACGCCAUUGAACGCCGCCAACCAGACCAGCACGACACCCAGGCUCGAACCAAAACUAAUAGCUCGAGUAGUUCCACGAUAGGCAGCGCAGCCGGUGGCAAACCUAGACAACGUCCUAAGACAAUACAUAUCGAUUCUCAGGAAAUAUCUGAUAGUUUGGCACUGGUCAACAGUCGGGGGAAGAAGGGAUCGAGCAGUAAUCUGUCAGGCAUAGGAAGUCAAUCUGGGGGCACCAUCAGGAGGGAUUACUACAGGGGCUCGCAAGACAGCCUGUCUUAUCGAGAAUCUCCUGAGGAUGCACCUAGCAGGUCAACGAGUCAAGGAUUGGGCAGACGAGGCUCGUAUAAAACUUCUAGAGGUAAU